CGAACGCUGGCGGCGUGCUUAACACAUGCAAGUCGAACGCGAAAGUUUUCUUCGGAAGAAAGAGUAGAGUGGCGCACGGGUGAGUAACGCGUAAGUUAUCUACCCUGGCAUCUGGAAUAACUCACCGAAAGGUGUGCUAAUACCGGAUACGUUGGAUUUAUCCAAGAAAGGUGGCCUCUUCAUGAAAGCUACUGUGCUGGGAGGAGCUUGCGUACCAUUAGCUAGUUGGUAGGGUAAUGGCCUACCAAGGCAACGAUGGUUAGCGGGUCUGAGAGGAUGAUCCGCCACACUGGAACUGGAACACGGACCAGACUCCUACGGGAGGCAGCAGUGAGGAAUAUUGCGCAAUGGGGGCAACCCUGACGCAGCGACGCCGCGUGGAUGAUGAAGGCCUUCGGGUCGUAAAAUCCUGUCAGAUGGAAAGAAAUGUAUAGUGGUUAAUACCCAUUAUAUUUGACGGUACCAUCAAAGGAAGCACCGGCUAACUCC
This 489-nucleotide ribosomal RNA is filed under the name uncultured bacterium. RNAcentral's name for it is "bacterial SSU rRNA". It matches the Rfam family "Bacterial small subunit ribosomal RNA", at positions 30 to 504 of the family's 1533-position model. The record is from RNAcentral.